RNAcentral lists this ribosomal RNA (796 nucleotides) under uncultured bacterium. Its description in RNAcentral is "bacterial SSU rRNA". It matches the Rfam family "Bacterial small subunit ribosomal RNA", at positions 89 to 871 of the family's 1533-position model. The record is from RNAcentral.
GGAUGAGUGGCGAACGGGUGAGUAACACGUGGGGAAUCUGCCUAGGAGUGGGGGAUAACAUUCGGAAACGGAUGCUAAUACCGCAUAUCUUCUUAGACCGCAUGGUCUAUGAAUGAAAGACGGCUUUGCUGUCGCUCUUAGAUGAUCCCGCGGCGUAUUAGUUAGUUGGUGGGGUAAAGGCCUACCAAGACCAUGAUACGUAGCCGACCUGAGAGGGUGAUCGGCCACACUGGGACUGAGACACGGCCCAGACUCCUACGGGAGGCAGCAGUAGGGAAUCUUCCACAAUGGGUGAAAACCUGAUGGAGCAAUGCCGCGUGAAUGAAGAAGGUCUUCGGAUCGUAAAGUUCUGUUAUUAGAGAAGAACAAGUCAAGGAGUAACUGUCUUGACUUUGACGGUACCUAACCAGAAAGUCACGGCUAACUACGUGCCAGCAGCCGCGGUAAUACGUAGGUGACAAGCGUUGUCCGGAAUUAUUGGGCGUAAAGGGAGCGCAGGCGGUUGGAAUAGUCUGAUGUGAAAGCCCACGGCUUAACCGUGGAAGGUCAUUGGAAACUGUCCAACUUGAAUACAGAAGAGGUAAGUGGAAUUCCAAGUGUAGCGGUGAAAUGCGUAGAUAUAUGGAGGAACACCAGUGGCGAAGGCGACUUACUGGUCUGUGAUUGACGCUGAGGCUCGAAAGCGUGGGUAGCGAACAGGAUUAGAUACCCUGGUAGUCCACGCCGUAAACGAUGAGUGCUAAGUGUUGGAGGGUUUCCGCCCUUCAGUGCUGGAGUUAACGCAUANAGCACUCCG